GCUCCGUUGAUGAACCAGCGGAGGGAUCAUUACCGAGUUUACAACUCCCAAACCCAAUGUGAACCAUACCAAACUGUUGCCUCGGCGGGGUCACGCCCCGGGUGCGUCGCAGCCCCGGAACCAGGCGCCCGCCGGAGGGACCAACCAAACUCUUUCUGUAGUCCCCUCGCGGACGUUAUUUUUACAGCUCUGAGCAAAAAUUCAAAAUGAAUCAAAACUUUCAACAACGGAUCUCUUGGUUCUG
This 244-nucleotide unclassified non-coding RNA is filed under the name plant metagenome. RNAcentral's name for it is "partial contains small subunit ribosomal RNA, internal transcribed spacer 1, and 5.8S ribosomal RNA". The record is from RNAcentral.